UACGUAGGCGGUUUAGUGUGUUAGAUGUGAAAUCCCAGAGCUCAACUUUGGAAUUGCAUUUAAAACUGCUAGACUUGAGUAUAAUAAGAGAUGGCGGAAUUUCUAGUGUAGGGGUGAAAUCCGUAGAUAUUAGAAGGAACACCAGAGGUGAAGACGGCUAUCUAGGUUAUUACUGACGCUAAGGUACGAAAGCGUGGGGAGCGAACAGGAUUAGAUACCCUGGUAGUCC
Molecule: ribosomal RNA, 229 nt
Filed under: uncultured bacterium
Lineage: Bacteria
Description: partial 16S ribosomal RNA
Rfam family: Bacterial small subunit ribosomal RNA
Source: RNAcentral